GACGAACACUGGCGGCGUGCCUAAUACAUGCAAGUAGAACGCUGAAGAGAGGAGCUUGCUCUUCUUGGAUGAGUUGCGAACGGGUGAGUAACGCGUAGGUAACCUGCCUUGUAGCGGGGGAUAACUAUUGGAAACGAUAGCUAAUACCGCAUAACAAUAGGUGACACAUGUCAUUUAUUUGAAGGGGCAAUUGCUCCACUACAAGAUGGACCUGCGUUGUAUUAGCUAGUAGGUGAGGUAACGGCUCACCUAGGCGACGAUACAUAGCCGACCUGAGAGGGUGAUCGGCCACACUGGGACUGAGACACGGCCCAGACUCCUACGGGAGGCAGCAGUAGGGAAUCUUCGGCAAUGGGGGCAACCCUGACCGAGCAACGCCGCGUGAGUGAAGAAGGUUUUCGGAUCGUAAAGCUCUGUUGUAAGUCAAGAACGAGUGUGAGAGUGGAAAGUUCACACUGUGACGGUAGCUUACCAGAAAGGGACGGCUAACUACGUGCCAGCAGCCGCGGUAAUACGUAGGUCCCGAGCGUUGUCCGGAUUUAUUGGGCGUAAAGCGAGCGCAGGCGGUUUGAUAAGUCUGAAGUUAAAGGCUGUGGCUCAACCAUAGUUCGCUUUGGAAACUGUCAAACUUGAGUGCAGAAGGGGAGAGUGGAAUUCCAUGUGUAGCGGUGAAAUGCGUAGAUAUAUGGAGGAACACCGGUGGCGAAGGCGGCUCUCUGGUCUGUAACUGACGCUGAGGCUCGAAAGCGUGGGGAGCGAACAGGAUUAGAUACCCUGGUAGUCCACGCCGUAAACGAUGAGUGCUAGGUGUUGGAUCCUUUCCGGGAUUCAGUGCCGCAGCUAACGCAUUAAGCACUCCGCCUGGGGAGUACGACCGCAAGGUUGAAACUCAAAGGAAUUGUCGGGGGCCCGCACAAGCGGUGGAGCAUGUGGUUUAAUUCGAAGCAACGCGAAGAACCUUACCAGGUCUUGACAUCCCGAUGCUAUUUCUAGAGAUAGAAAGUUACUUCGGUACAUCGGUGACAGGUGGUGCAUGGUUGUCGUCAGCUCGUGUCGUGAGAUGUUGGGUUAAGUCCCGCAACGAGCGCAACCCCUAUUGUUAGUUGCCAUCAUUCAGUUGGGCACUCUAGCGAGACUGCCGGUAAUAAACCGGAGGAAGGUGGGGAUGACGUCAAAUCAUCAUGCCCCUUAUGACCUGGGCUACACACGUGCUACAAUGGUUGGUACAACGAGUUGCGAGUCGGUGACGGCAAGCUAAUCUCUUAAAGCCAAUCUCAGUUCGGAUUGUAGGCUGCAACUCGCCUACAUGAAGUCGGAAUCGCUAGUAAUCGCGGAUCAGCACGCCGCGGUGAAUACGUUCCCGGGCCU
This 1368-nucleotide ribosomal RNA is filed under the name uncultured bacterium. Its description in RNAcentral is "bacterial SSU rRNA". It matches the Rfam family "Bacterial small subunit ribosomal RNA", at positions 28 to 1381 of the family's 1533-position model. The record is from RNAcentral.